This 570-nucleotide ribosomal RNA is filed under the name uncultured bacterium. RNAcentral's name for it is "partial 16S ribosomal RNA". It matches the Rfam family "Bacterial small subunit ribosomal RNA", at positions 355 to 914 of the family's 1533-position model. The record is from RNAcentral.
UGGGGAAUAUUGCACAAUGGGCGCAAGCCUGAUGCAGCCAUGCCGCGUGUGUGAAGAAGGCCUUCGGGUUGUAAAGCACUUUCAGCGAGGAGGAAGGUGGUGAAGCUUAAUACGCUCAUCAAUUGACGUUACUCGCAGAAGAGGCACCGGCUAACUCCGUGCCAGCAGCCGCGGUAAUACGGAGGGUGCAAGCGUUAAUCGGAAUUACUGGGCGUAAAGCGCACGCAGGCGGUUUGUUAAGUCAGAUGUGAAAUCCCCGGGCUCAACCUGGGAACUGCAUUUGAAACUGGCAAGCUAGAGUCUCGUAGAGGGGGGUAGAAUUCCAGGUGUAGCGGUGAAAUGCGUAGAGAUCUGGAGGAAUACCGGUGGCGAAGGCGGCCCCCUGGACGAAGACUGACGCUCAGGUGCGAAAGCGUGGGGCAGCAAACAGGAUUAGAUACCCUGGUAGUCCACGCUGUAAAACGAUGUCGAUUUUGGAGGUUGUGCCCUUGAGGCGUGGCUUCCGGAGCUAACGCGUUAAAUCGACCGCCUGGGGAGUACGGCCGCAAGGUUAAAACUAAAUGAAUUGAC